UGUGGGCGGAAAGAAGGAUUAUCCAAGCGAAGCGAAACAUGAUAAAGAAAAUGGUAAUAACUGAAAUGGUAAUAACUUCUUUACCAUUUUCUUUAUCAUGUUUCGCUUCGCUUGGAUAAUCCUUCUUUCCGCCCACA
Non-coding RNA from Paramuricea clavata, 137 nucleotides. Lineage: Eukaryota; Metazoa; Cnidaria; Anthozoa; Malacalcyonacea; Plexauridae. The record is from the annotation of a GenBank genome assembly.